CUAAGGCGAGGCCGAAAGGCGUAGUCGAUGGGAAACAGGUUAAUAUUCCUGUACUCGGUGUUACUGCGAAGGGGGGACGGAGAAGGCUAUGUUGGCCGGGCGACGGUUGUCCCGGUUUAAGCAUGUAGGCGGAUGUUCCAGGUAAAUCCGGAACGUUACUAACGCUGAGGUGUGAUGACGAGGCACUACGGUGCUGAAGUGACAAAUGCCCUGCUUCCAGGAAAAGCCUCUAAGCAUCAGGUAACAUCAAAUCGUACCCCAAACCGACACAGGUGGUCAGGUAGAGAAUACCAAGGCGCUUGAGAGAACUCGGGUGAAGGAACUAGGCAAAAUGGUGCCGUAACUUCGGGAGAAGGCACGCUGAUAUGUAGGUGAAGCCCCUGCGGGUGGAGCUGAAAUCAGUCGAAGAUACCAGCUGGCUGCAACUGUUUAUUAAAAACACAGCACUGUGCAAACACGAAAGUGGACGUAUACGGUGUGACGCCUGCCCGGUGCCGGAAGGUUAAUUGAUGGGGUUAGCGGCAACGCGAAGCUCUUGAUCGAAGCCCCGGUAAACGGCGGCCGUAACUAUAACGGUCCUAAGGUAGCGAAAUUCCUUGUCGGGUAAGUUCCGACCUGCACGAAUGGCGUAAUGAUGGCCAGGCUGUCUCCACCCGAGACUCAGUGAAAUUGAACUCGCUGUGAAGAUGCAGUGUACCCGCGGCAAGACGGAAAGACCCCGUGAACCUUUACUAUAGCUUGACACUGAACACUGGUCCUUGAUGUGUAGGAUAGGUGGGAGGCUUUGAAGUGUGGACGCCAGUCUGCAUGGAGCCGUCCUUGAAAUACCACCCUUUAAUGGCUGGUGUUCUAACGUAGACCCGUAAUCCGGGUUGCGGACAGUGUCUGGUGGGUAGUUUGACUGGGGCGGUCUCCUCCCAAAGAGUAACGGAGGAGCACGAAGGUUAGCUAAUCCUGGUCGGACAUCAGGAGGUUAGUGCAAUGGCAUAAGCUAGCUUGACUGCGAGAGUGACGGCUCGAGCAGGUGCGAAAGCAGGUCAUAGUGAUCCGGUGGUUCUGAAUGGAAGGGCCAUCGCUCAACGGAUAAAAGGUACUCCGGGGAUAACAGGCUGAUACCGCCCAAGAGUUCAUAUCGACGGCGGUGUUUGGCACCUCGAUGUCGGCUCAUCACAUCCUGGGGCUGAAGUAGGUCCCAAGG
This 1198-nucleotide ribosomal RNA is filed under the name human gut metagenome. RNAcentral describes it as "bacterial LSU rRNA". It matches the Rfam family "Bacterial large subunit ribosomal RNA", at positions 1391 to 2570 of the family's 2925-position model. The record is from RNAcentral.